GCAGAAAAUGGACAGCUGCCUGUUCAGCCUGUUGCACCGCCUUAUUGAGAUGGUUUUCGAAACAAGGGACUUGCUAGGCAGUAUUUAGCCACAUAGGGACAUCUGGGAUGAUCUUCUAACUAUCCUAGACUACCUUGGCAUGAUCUUGGACCCUAAGGUUCACUAUAUAAGAGCUUGAGUUGUGAACAUUUCAUUCAUUCAUUUCAAACUUUGCAUAAGUUCACUCCUGGAGCUCCUCUGGUCAGCAACAAAUAUUCUUAGCAUCCCUAAUCCUAAUUAGGACUCUUGAUGAAUAGGAGACCCAGUAAAAGAUACUUGCACUUGCUUGUUGUGGUUUAUACUUGCUCAGGUAAAUACUUUUAA
This 363-nucleotide long non-coding RNA is filed under the name Helianthus annuus (common sunflower). Its description in RNAcentral is "hypothetical non coding rna". Lineage: Eukaryota; Viridiplantae; Streptophyta; Magnoliopsida; Asterales; Asteraceae. The record is from RNAcentral.